CUUGCAAAACGUUCUAUCGCUCACGGCCAAACCGCGAGAGGAAAGUCCGGGCAACAUAGAGUAUCCUGCUUCCUAACGGGAAGGCGCCGGCAGCCGGCGACAGCAAGUGCCACAGAGAAUAUACCGCCUGUGAUUUAUCAUGGGUAAGGGUGAAAACGUGAGGUAAGAGCUCACGGCUUUUCCGGGCGACCGGGAUCGCGGUAAACCUCAGGAGUUGAAAAACCAAAUAGGUCCUGAAUCGGAAGUUACUCGCUUUUGAUUGUUUGCCACUGGCAGAUGAUCGUCAGGAUGGGUAGGUUGCUUGAACCUGUCAGCAAUGGCAGGGCCAGAUUAAUGAUAGAAACCGUCCUUCAACCGACGGAACAGAACCCGGCUUAUAGCUUUGCUGCUGAA
This is a non-coding RNA of Mucilaginibacter mallensis, 393 nucleotides long. It matches the Rfam family "Bacterial RNase P class A". Rfam says of the family: Ribonuclease P (RNase P) is a ubiquitous endoribonuclease, found in archaea, bacteria and eukarya as well as chloroplasts and mitochondria. Its best characterised activity is the generation of mature 5'-ends of tRNAs by cleaving the 5'-leader elements of precursor-tRNAs. Lineage: Bacteria; Pseudomonadati; Bacteroidota; Sphingobacteriia; Sphingobacteriales; Sphingobacteriaceae. The record is from Rfam.